GCCCGGGUGGCGGAACGGAAUACGCGAUCGGCUCAAAACCGGUUGCCCGAAAGGGCGUGUGGGUUCGAAUCCCACCCCGGGCA
This 83-nucleotide transfer RNA is filed under the name Actinomycetota bacterium. RNAcentral's name for it is "tRNA-Leu". It matches the Rfam family "tRNA". From Rfam's summary of the family: Transfer RNA (tRNA) molecules are approximately 80 nucleotides in length. Their secondary structure includes four short double-helical elements and three loops (D, anti-codon, and T loops). The record is from RNAcentral. Lineage: Bacteria; Bacillati; Actinomycetota.